AUGAACACCUACGGGUUCCGCCUCCUUGACUUCACCCCCAAUGCUGUUCUGACCAUGGCAGUUUUCGCACAUCUCUGCGAAAACUUUGUCAGAGUCUAUCCAAACGUAGCUCUUUUCCGCCACUUCUUUAUGCCCCGAGUUGAGAGAGGGGAGCCUUUAUCUGGCGGAAUCGCCUGGAUCUCGAGAGCUGGCAAGAAGGAAGCUUAUCUGGAGGGAGAGCUCCGCAGCAAGUGGGAGGAAUGGAGAGCAGAAUGGUGCUGGAUUGUCAAGGAGAACCCGCAGCCAUUUACCGCCCAGUGCCAAGCCCCAAUAGCGCGCGGCAACGAUUGGAGCAACGUGGCCCCGAAAGACGAUAGGCUGAAGAUUGCCGUCACCCGGAUCCUACGCCUCAGGAUUGCCGGGCUCACCGUAGGCGCCGUUGGCGCAGAUUUUCUUCGCCGCCGCAUCGCCCCCCUGCAGGAAAGGAGGAGACCUGCCUGGGAGUUCCAGAACACGGCAGAUAUCAUGAGGCUGCGCCUGGGCCUCAACUUCAACUUCACUGUCCUCGAACUGGACGUGAUGAUCCUGGAACUGUUCUAG
RNAcentral lists this ribosomal RNA (579 nucleotides) under Triticum aestivum (bread wheat). RNAcentral's name for it is "partial small subunit ribosomal RNA". Lineage: Eukaryota; Viridiplantae; Streptophyta; Magnoliopsida; Poales; Poaceae. The record is from RNAcentral.